AACCCAUGGUGAGGGUACUGGUUUGUAUAGCUUCUGAAUCUCUCACAGGAUUCACCAAAUGUCUCAUUAUUGUGUUGAGUAAAUCUUAAGAUCUGAUUCAUCAGCUU
Molecule: small nucleolar RNA, 107 nt
Organism: Eutrema salsugineum
Lineage: Eukaryota; Viridiplantae; Streptophyta; Magnoliopsida; Brassicales; Brassicaceae
Rfam family: Plant small nucleolar RNA R71
About the family: R71 is a member of the C/D box family of snoRNAs containing the C (UGAUGA) and D (CUGA) box motifs. Multiple nearly identical copies of this snoRNA have been identified in Arabidopsis, and it is thought to function as a 2'-O-ribose methylation guide for 18S ribosomal RNA.
Source: Rfam